Molecule: long non-coding RNA, 333 nt
Filed under: Trifolium pratense (red clover)
Lineage: Eukaryota; Viridiplantae; Streptophyta; Magnoliopsida; Fabales; Fabaceae
Description: long non-coding RNA (TPRA_LNC012079)
Source: RNAcentral
UCUUUAUAACUACACACAUCCAACACAGCUGUAGGGUAAGUUUUGACACAUGUCAAGCUCACAGCAAUGCAGAGUAAAAUCCUAGCUGGAAAAGGACAAAAAACAUGCUUCUUUUGGGCAAUGUUUUGAAUUGUUUUUCCCUCAUCUUCUAUGUAAAAUUGGGUCAAAUACAUUGAGUCCAACAUAAUCUGGCCCAGCAAACCCCAGUCCUUGAACAUAGAAAAGCUUCACGCCAAACAGAAAAACAAAGAAGCAAGAAGACCUUCCUUUGAGCCGUCCCUUUCACGGUUUCACAUAUUGCAGGUUUGCAGGAAGCAGGCUAGAAUCCAAAAA